UACAGAGGGUGCAAGCGUUGUUCGGAAUUACUGGGCGUAAAGAGUGUGUAGGCGGUGCUCCCAGUCUGUUGUGAAAUCUCCCGGCUUAACUGGGAGGGUGCAGCGGAAACUAGAGUGCUAGAGGGUGGGAGAGGUAAGCGGAAUUCCUGGUGUAGCGGUGAAAUGCGUAGAUAUCAGGAGGAACACCUGUGGUGUAGACAGCUUACUGGACCACUUCUGACGCUGAGACACGAAAGCGUGGGUAGCAAACAGG
This 253-nucleotide ribosomal RNA is filed under the name uncultured bacterium. Its description in RNAcentral is "partial 16S ribosomal RNA". It matches the Rfam family "Bacterial small subunit ribosomal RNA", at positions 524 to 776 of the family's 1533-position model. The record is from RNAcentral.